AGUGAACGCUGGCGGUAGGCUUAACACAUGCAAGUCGAACGGCAGCACAGUAAGUGCUUGCUCUUACGGGUGGCGAGUGGCGGACGGGUGAGGAAUAAAUCCGUAUCUACUUUUUCGGGGGGGAUAACGUAGGGAAACUUACGCUAAUACCGCAUACGACCUCCGGGUGAAUGCAGGGGAUCUUCGGGCCUUGCGCGAUUGAAUGAGCCGAUGCCGGAUUCGUUAGUUGGCGGGGUAAAGGCCCACCAAGGCGACGAUCCGUAGCUGGUCUGAGAGGAUGAUCAGCCACACUGGAACUGAGACACGGUCCAGACUCCUACGGGAGGCAGCAGUGGGGAAUAUUGGACAAUGGGCGCAAGCCUGAUCCAGCCAUACCGCGUGGGUGAAGAAGGCCUUCGGGUUGUAAAGCCCUUUUGUUGGGAAAGAAAAGCAGCAGGUUAAUACCCCGCUGUUCUGACGGUACCCAAAGAAUAAGCACCGGCUAACUUCGUG
This 492-nucleotide ribosomal RNA is filed under the name uncultured bacterium. Its description in RNAcentral is "partial 16S ribosomal RNA". It matches the Rfam family "Bacterial small subunit ribosomal RNA", at positions 29 to 507 of the family's 1533-position model. The record is from RNAcentral.